AGUGAACGCUGGCGGUAGGCCUAACACAUGCAAGUCGAACGGCAGCACAGUAAGAGCUUGCUCUUACGGGUGGCGAGUGGCGGACGGGUGAGGAAUACAUCGGAAUCUACUUUUUCGUGGGGGAUAACGUAGGGAAACUUACGCUAAUACCGCAUACGACCUACGGGUGAAAGCAGGGGAUCUUCGGACCUUGCGCGAUUGAAUGAGCCGAUGUCGGAUUAGCUAGUUGGCGGGGUAAAGGCCCACCAAGGCGACGAUCCGUAGCUGGUCUGAGAGGCUGGUAGGCGACACUGGAACGGGAACACGGUCCAGACUCCUGCGGUAGGCAGCAGUGGGGAAUAUUAGACAAUGGGCGCAAGCAUGAUACAGCCAUACCGCGUGGGUGAAGAAGGCCUUCGGGUUGUAAAGCCCUUUUGUUGGGAAAGAAAAGCAGCAGGUUAAUACCCCGCUGUUCUGACGGUACCCAAAGAAUAAGCACCGGCUAACUUCGUG
RNAcentral lists this ribosomal RNA (492 nucleotides) under uncultured bacterium. Its description in RNAcentral is "partial 16S ribosomal RNA". It matches the Rfam family "Bacterial small subunit ribosomal RNA", at positions 29 to 507 of the family's 1533-position model. The record is from RNAcentral.